AUGGAUUUGGGGGAGCCUGCACAGGUCUUGGAGGCUUCUACAAUAUCAUAUCUUAGAAGAGUUCUGAUUCAUUACCUCAUCUGUUGGGUUGUCGUGCUUGAUUCCAGAUGGAAAGAUCUAAACAGACCUCGAGAUUUCAGCUAUAUAUUACCGUUGAUGAUUUUCUGGCGUUUCUUCUUCCAUCGUUCGAUGUGCCGGUCGUCCUGCCGUAUGUCGCCCCUUCGAUUCGUGUGGAGUCUACUUGUUGUUGCAGUUGAUGUUUAUUGCAGGAUGGAAAGAUCUAAACAGACCUUGAGAUUUCAGCUAUAUAUUACUAUUGAUGAUUUUCUGGCGUUUCUUCUUCCCUUGUUCGAUGUGCUGGGCGUCCUGCAGUAUGUCACCCCUUCGAUUCGUGUGGAGUCUACUUGUUGUUGA
This 414-nucleotide ribosomal RNA is filed under the name Triticum aestivum (bread wheat). Its description in RNAcentral is "partial small subunit ribosomal RNA". The record is from RNAcentral. Lineage: Eukaryota; Viridiplantae; Streptophyta; Magnoliopsida; Poales; Poaceae.